RNAcentral lists this ribosomal RNA (386 nucleotides) under uncultured bacterium. RNAcentral describes it as "bacterial SSU rRNA". It matches the Rfam family "Bacterial small subunit ribosomal RNA", at positions 30 to 418 of the family's 1533-position model. The record is from RNAcentral.
AUUGAACGCUGGCGGCAUGCCUUACACAUGCAAGUCGAACGGCAGCACGGGGCAACCUGGUGGCGAGUGGCGAACGGGUGAGUAAUGCAUCGGAACGUGCCAUUGAGUGGGGGAUAACGUAGCGAAAGUUGCGCUAAUACCGCAUAUUCUGUGAGCAGGAAAGCAGGGGACCGCAAGGCCUUGCGCUCUUUGAGCGGCCGAUGUCGGAUUAGCUAGUUGGUGAGGUAAAGGCUUACCAAGGCGACGAUCUGUAGCGGGUCUGAGAGGAUGAUCCGCCACACUGGAACUGAGACACGGUCCAGACUCCUACGGGAGGCAGCAGUGGGGAAUUUUGGACAAUGGGCGCAAGCCUGAUCCAGCCAUGCCGCGUGAGUGAAGAAGGCCUU